RNAcentral lists this unclassified non-coding RNA (352 nucleotides) under soil metagenome. RNAcentral describes it as "partial contains 5.8S ribosomal RNA, internal transcribed spacer 2, and large subunit ribosomal RNA". The stretch from base 1 to 121 matches the Rfam family "5.8S ribosomal RNA", at positions 35 to 154 of the family's 154-position model. The record is from RNAcentral.
GAUGAAGAACGUAGCGAAAUGCGAUAAGUAAUGUGAAUUGCAGAAUUCAGUGAAUCAUCGAAUCUUUGAACGCACCUUGCGCCCUUUGGCCAUUCCGAAGGGCAUGCCUGUCCGAGCGUCAUUUCUGCCCUCAAGCCCGGCUUGUGUGUUGGGCGUGGUCCCCCCGGUUUAGGGGGGACCUGCCCGAAAGGCAGCGGCGACGUUCCGCCUAGGUCCUCGAGCGUAUGGGGCUUUGUCACCCGCUCGGGAGGGGCCUACGGGCGUUGGCCAUCCACCAUUUAUUUUUUUUACGGUUGACCUCGGAUCAGGUAGGAGUUACCCGCUGAACUUAAGCAUAUCAAUAAGCGGAGGA